GGUGGCUCAGUGGCAGAGCACUUGCCUUGCAUGCAAGAGGCCCUGGGUUCAAUUCCUCAGCACCA
RNAcentral lists this transfer RNA (65 nucleotides) under Dipodomys ordii (Ord's kangaroo rat). It matches the Rfam family "tRNA". From Rfam's summary of the family: Transfer RNA (tRNA) molecules are approximately 80 nucleotides in length. Their secondary structure includes four short double-helical elements and three loops (D, anti-codon, and T loops). Further hydrogen bonds mediate the characteristic L-shaped molecular structure. tRNAs have two regions of fundamental functional importance: the anti-codon, which is responsible for specific mRNA codon recognition, and the 3' end, to which the tRNAs corresponding amino acid is attached (by aminoacyl-tRNA synthetases). tRNAs cope with the degeneracy of the genetic code in two manners: having more than one tRNA (with a specific anti-codon) for a particular amino acid; and 'wobble' base-pairing, i.e. permitting non-standard base-pairing at the 3rd anti-codon position. The record is from Rfam by way of RNAcentral. Lineage: Eukaryota; Metazoa; Chordata; Mammalia; Rodentia; Heteromyidae.